RNAcentral lists this ribosomal RNA (449 nucleotides) under uncultured Alphaproteobacteria bacterium. RNAcentral's name for it is "bacterial SSU rRNA". It matches the Rfam family "Bacterial small subunit ribosomal RNA", at positions 112 to 595 of the family's 1533-position model. Lineage: Bacteria; Pseudomonadati; Pseudomonadota; Alphaproteobacteria. The record is from RNAcentral.
AACACGUGGGAACGUGCCCUUCAGUCCGGAACAACCCAGGGAAACUUGGGCUAAUACCGGAUACGUCCGUAAGGAGAAAGAAUUUAUCGCUGAAGGAUCGGCCCGCGUCUGAUUAGCUUGUUGGUGAGGUAACGGCUCACCAAGGCGACGAUCAGUAGCUGGUCUGAGAGGAUGAUCAGCCUCACUGGGACUGAGACACGGCCCAGACUCCUACGGGAGGCAGCAGUGGGGAAUAUUGGACAAUGGGCGCAAGCCUGAUCCAGCCAUGCCGCGUGGGUGAUGAAGGCCCUAGGGUUGUAAAGCCCUUUCGGCGGGGAAGAUAAUGACGGUACCGUAAGAAGAAGCCCCGGCUAACUUCGUGCCAGCAGCCGCGGUAAUACGAGGGGGGCAAGCGUUGUUCGGAAUUAUUGGGCGUAAAGGGUGCGUAGGCGGCGCGGUAUGUCUCUUGU